Molecule: ribosomal RNA, 292 nt
Filed under: uncultured bacterium
Lineage: Bacteria
Description: partial 16S ribosomal RNA
Rfam family: Bacterial small subunit ribosomal RNA
Source: RNAcentral
GUGUCAGCAGCCGCGGUAAGACAGAGGGGGCAAGCGUUGCUCGGAAUCACUGGGCGUAAAGGGCGCGUAGGCGGGAUGGCAAGUCGGUCGUGAAAUCCUUCGGCUCAACCGAAGAACGUCGGCCGAUACUGCCGUUCUUGAGGGAUGCAGAGGAGAUUGGAAUUCCCGGUGUAGCGGUGAAAUGUGUAGAGAUCGGGAGGAACACCGGUGGCGAAGGCGGGUCUCUGGGCAUCUCCUGACGCUGAGGCGCGAAAGCGUGGGGAGCAAACGGGAUUAGAAACCCCCGUAGUCC